GGGUUGUGAGGUUAAGCGACUAAGCGUACACGGUGGAUGCCCUGGCAGUCAGAGGCGAUGAAGGACGUGCUAAUCUGCGAUAAGCGCCGGUAAGGUGAUAUGAACCGUUAUAACCGGCGAUUUCCGAAUGGGGAAACCCAGUGUGACUCGUCACACUAUCAUUAACUGAAUCCAUAGGUUAAUGAGGCGAACCGGGGGAACUGAAACAUCUAAGUACCCCGAGGAAAAGAAAUCAACCGAGAUUCCCCCAGUAGCGGCGAGCGAACGGGGAGGAGCCCAGAGCCUGAAUCAGCAUGUGUGUUAGUGGAAGCGUCUGGAAAGGCGCGCGAUACAGGGUGACAGCCCCGUACACAAAAGCGCAUGUGUUGUGAGCUCGAUGAGUAGGG
RNAcentral lists this ribosomal RNA (386 nucleotides) under Salmonella enterica subsp. enterica serovar Newport str. CVM79_1594. RNAcentral's name for it is "bacterial LSU rRNA". It matches the Rfam family "Bacterial large subunit ribosomal RNA", at positions 1 to 417 of the family's 2925-position model. Lineage: Bacteria; Pseudomonadati; Pseudomonadota; Gammaproteobacteria; Enterobacterales; Enterobacteriaceae. The record is from RNAcentral.